Long non-coding RNA from Lates calcarifer (barramundi perch), 1400 nucleotides. RefSeq lists it as uncharacterized. Lineage: Eukaryota; Metazoa; Chordata; Actinopteri; Centropomidae. The record is from RefSeq and is a predicted model, not a curated record. The transcript is spliced from 7 exons.
CGGCGUUUCAAAAUAAGAGGCAGAAAGUGUAUGUCGUCAUUGGUCACAGCGUGGCUCGUGAUUGGUCACGAGUUUGUGGGAGGAGCUGUUCAGAGAGGAGAGACGGAUAUGAAUCACGUUUGUAGCAUUACCUCUGUUUGCCAGUAACUGGUAGGUCCGGAUGCCUGAAUUUUCUGUCGAACACCGGUGAGAUGCUAAACCAAACUCUGGAGCUGUUUUUGUCGAACACGGGUCAGAUGGUAAAACAAACUUUGGAGCUGUUCUGCGGCGGCGGCGAGAAUUCACAUACUGGCGACGCAAAAUAUCCGGCUGGAUUGCAGCGAACCCCAGCCAAGGUGCGUCAAGUUGGAGAGAGUGACGAGACGAAUUCCGUUUUGACGGCGUUUCAAAAUAAGAGGCAGAAAGUGUAUGUCGUCAUUGGUCACGUGCUUGUGGGAGGAGCUGUUCUGCGGCAUCGGGGAGGUUUACUGGUUCAGCUGCUGCAGCCUGGACACAAACACCAGCUCCCACCUUAGAAAGCAAACAGAGGCCUGGACUACGAAGGGAGUUUAACCCACUCUGAUUUAACUCGGGUUAUCAAGGAACGUCGGGGUUGACAGACGUCGGCUGCCUCGAUCUGCGUUAACUACAGCGACGAUGAAGAUGUCGGUGUCUCCACUUCACGUCCACGAUCAGAGAAUCUUUGAACAAUGAAGGAAUUGUUUAGACCAGGACAGAGGCCUCCAGAAUUCAAACUUCAACCAUUCAAUCACAGAGAGAAGAGACAGACAUGAAGAUGUUUCCAGAAGGUCUCUGAAACGCCACCAGUGCUGUCGCAUAUCUCCUAACGCCAGGGAGUCAAGAGCGCUCGGACAGGCGUUCACACUUUGUCUGCUUCAGAAUCACUUCUGUGUCCAACCGACCCUCCUCCCACUGAAAUCAACACGACUCAACUCUACUGUGACAUUGAGUAUUUUUAACUGUUUAUGAUUGUUUGUUAUGCUUUACUGUAUUAUGACAUUUUUGACUGUUGUUCACUGUUUUGUAUGUCUUUUUAUUGUGUGACAAUAAAUUGUGUGUGUGUGUAUUGUGUUUCCUGUUAGGAAGAGAUAGCAGAGGAAUGAGAGUAAAGGGAUGGGACACCCUUUGGCCCAGCCCUUUACUCAGAUAGGACAGUGUAGAUGAGCAUGGGAAUAACAUGCAAUAAACCCUUAGCUGGGGCACAUGAGCCUAUAUGGGCGCCCCAUUUUUUUUUAUUUUUUUUUUCUGUUUUUUUUCCCAUUGACAUUUUUUUAAUUUUUCCAUUCAAAUUUUUGACAUUUUUCUUUUUUCAAUGUAACACUUAAGAAUAAAAUUUUUCCUCCAAAAUUUCUAUUGUUUUCUAUACAAAAAAUACAUUGAAUAAAAACCUCUAAACCACA